AUUAUCCGUUCCGCUGCGCGAUGAAGGAGAACGGAAUAUCGCCGGGCUGUACAGUCAUAGCUUAUAGAAUAAAAAGUGAGCUGUUGACCAUAGCAAGGCUUUUGAGAUACAAAUGAAUCAUUACAAUUAUUAAAGGACGAACACCACAUGCUCGCUUUAUGGCCAUGACUAUUCUAAGAAGCCGUUCAUUUAUUCAUUUUUGAACGUUUAUCAUGUUUAAUUCAUAAUAAAUAUACAUUUUGUUCCCGGU
Melitaea cinxia (Glanville fritillary) is the source of this 250-nucleotide long non-coding RNA. RefSeq lists it as uncharacterized. Lineage: Eukaryota; Metazoa; Arthropoda; Insecta; Lepidoptera; Nymphalidae. The transcript is spliced from 2 exons. The record is from RefSeq and is a predicted model, not a curated record.